This 427-nucleotide long non-coding RNA is filed under the name Panax ginseng (ginseng). Its description in RNAcentral is "long non-coding RNA (PGIN_LNC015041)". Lineage: Eukaryota; Viridiplantae; Streptophyta; Magnoliopsida; Apiales; Araliaceae. The record is from RNAcentral.
AUUAAUGGUCAUGAUCAUGCCAACAACUGUCAAUCAAUGCACUACGGGCCAAUGAGAACUUUUACCACAUCAUUUGUAACAUUACGGUCAUGAUUACACCGAAUAAUCCCUGGUCAUAAUCAUACCAAGUCCAUCUAUGCACUACAGGCCACAGAUGACUUUCAACAAAAUAUAAACAUGAGGAUGAUGACAAUGAUAUAAGAAUUCAAUAAAACAAGUUCAAGAAUUAUUUUAUCCAGGAAUUAUUAACGUUCAAAUUGUCAACAUGAUACUGUUUUGUAGAGUAAAAUUCAAGAAUGAUCAGAAGAAUAUUUUCAUGAAAAGAUACUGGAUGAAGCGCAAAUAUCAAGGAUAUUCUACUAAUUUCAUGGAGUAUAGAAGUCGAAACUUUAACCAACUGAGUAUAAUAAAGAAUGGAAUAACAAAA